This 1544-nucleotide long non-coding RNA is filed under the name Vitis vinifera (wine grape). RNAcentral describes it as "long non-coding RNA (VVIN_LNC004997)". Lineage: Eukaryota; Viridiplantae; Streptophyta; Magnoliopsida; Vitales; Vitaceae. The record is from RNAcentral.
CCCAUUGUUUACUACGGGUAGCCCAUACUACAAGUGUAUCUGACAAAUAUAUACAUUACAUCAUUCCAACAAAAGGUUUAGUCUUGAUACAAAAGGCAUGGCCUCAAAAGACUUUCAAUAUGAGCAAACAACAUCCAAUCACAGUAAAGCAUUGCUCAAGCAUUAUUUCCUGCAUAGGUCUUCUGACCUGCAUCUAGAGGUGGACGGGAUAGGGUGAGUUCACAACUCAGUAGGAAAGUUUAUAACCAUCCUAAGUAUACCCUUAAAAACCUUGAAUUAAACGUUUAAUAACAUGCAUGAUAAACAUUUCAUAACCAUUAACAAAUAUGUAAUCAUGUCAAACAUGUAUGCAUGUGUUUGUUGGUUUCCUUAUUGCUUCUCCCCAUCCAUCCUUUCACAACUGAUAAAUUGCUGACUCCCAACAAUCUACAUGGCAGAUACAAUGCUCCAUAAGAAACUCGAUCAAUAUAAUAAUGACUAUUCUGGGACAUCACCAAGGGCAAGUCAUACCCCGUGUCUUUUGGGACUCAUACCCAAGGGCAGGACCAACCCCGUGUCUUUAGGGACUAAAACCCAGGGGCAGGACCAACCCCAUACACCCACAUCGGAGUGUCUUCCUCGAGGGCUUUAGGGACUUUCACCCAAGGACCCACGGUCCCACAUAAACAAUAUAUCAAAUGAUAAGACCUGUAGCAUCACAUAAACACUUCGCCACCAAUAAAUUCUCUGAAUAUGAUAUGUGAUAAUUCCAUAUCCUUCUUGCAAUGCAAUCACACCAUAAACCAUUUCGACAACACAAAACCAUGAAUCUUCAUACCAAUAUACGUUCCAACAUCAUGGUAACAUUUCAAUGCAAUAAACCGAGAUGCAAUGACACUUUAAAAGAUUUUAUGAAAUCAUAGAAAUAACAUAAAAUUCCAACAAAUAAUUCAAGGAAAGAAAUCAGAUACACCAUAGAAUAGCAUAAAAUUCCCUACCUUACAUCGACUUCCUUUUUGUGUUUCUUCUAAGUAGGCGAUCUUUGCCUAUUACGAGGAACUGAAAUGAAACAACAUAAUUUAGGUUUUAGUUUAUUGUUGCAAAUAUUUAAUUCUCACAUUCUCUAAUCUAUAUCCUACAUGUUUUCAAAUCAAAUUUGAAUUGAAUUAAACAAUAUUUACAAUGCAUAUUAAUUUCCCUAAUUAAUUACCAAACACUAAUUCUUUUGAUUUUCUUAAAGCCUAACCUAUUAACAAAUCCCAAGUGUCCAAAUAACCCAAUUCAUCACAUGUUUACUAAUCUAUUUUUCAAUCAAACCAAAUUAAACAACGAUUUAUGCUGAUCUUACCAUUAAUAAAAUACUUAACUUAAAAUAAUUUAAUCUUUAAUUAAUUGUGAUUUUUAACUAAAACGGGUUUAUAGCUAAUUAUACUCAACUUUUACACAAUUUUUACCGUUAAUUCUUUUCAACAUACCAUUAGGAACCAAAAUAAACGAAAAUUACAAAAUUAAACAACUUGCUUACCUCAAAUCUACACUUUCUCUCUCUAGAUUCUCUCUCUAAC